This 341-nucleotide unclassified non-coding RNA is filed under the name Hevea brasiliensis (rubber tree). Lineage: Eukaryota; Viridiplantae; Streptophyta; Magnoliopsida; Malpighiales; Euphorbiaceae. The record is from RNAcentral.
CCUGCAUGUAGCGUGGCUGUGUGAUCAAAUCUGGGAGCUGGAGGUGUCUGCGUUGUCUCUAAUACAUCCCAAGUCAUUUUUUCCAAAUCAAGAGCAUAAAGAUCAUUAAGCAAUCUCCUGCUACUAUUUUCUCCACCAAAAAUUAUCAGCCUAGAACCAAUCAAAGUAGCAGAAUGGCCCCCUCGAGCUACCGGAGCAUUUCCUGAUGUUUCAAUGACACCACAGAGGUGUGUUUCCAGAUCAAUGAACCGCACUGUCAUACUAUCAGAAGAUUUCUUGGAAUGCCCACCAACAAGUAGUAGUUUGUUUCCCCACUUAACCAUACUGUGAUCUGAGGUGGC